Pimephales promelas (fathead minnow) is the source of this 272-nucleotide non-coding RNA. Lineage: Eukaryota; Metazoa; Chordata; Actinopteri; Cypriniformes; Leuciscidae. The record is from RefSeq and is a predicted model, not a curated record.
GACUGGGGUCUUUAUCUGGCAGGUAUCUGGAUUAUGGCAAUGAGGAAUGGAAAAGGCAAGCCAUGGGUGUCCUGGAGGCUCUGGAGACGUUCUGUGAUGAAACCAGAAAGAACUUUGAAGCAACGCUGGCUUGGCUUCAGGAGCACGCCUGUUCCAGAACGUAUGGGUUAGGAACCCGGUUGCCAUGGGAUGAACAAUGGCUCAUUGAGUCCCUGUCGGACUCCACCAUCUAUAUGGCCUACUACACCGUGGCCCAUCUCCUCCAGGGAGGG